AGAGUUUGAUCAUGGCUCAGGAUGAACGCUAGCGGCAGGCCUAACACAUGCAAGUCGAGGGGUAGAGGAAGCUUGCUUCCUUGAGACCGGCGCACGGGUGCGUAACGCGUAUGCAAUCUGCCUUGUACUGAGGGAUAGCCCAGAGAAAUUUGGAUUAAUACCUCAUAGCAUUAUGAAAUCGCAUGGUUUUAUAAUUAAAGUUCCAACGGUACAAGAUGAGCAUGCGUCCCAUUAGUUAGUUGGUAAGGUAACGGCUUGCCAAGACGAUGAUGGGUAGGGGUCCUGAGAGGGAGAUCCCCACACUGGUACUGAGACACGGACCAGACUCCUACGGGAGGCAGCAGUGAGGAAUAUUGGUCAAUGGACGCAAGUCUGAACCAGCCAUGCCGCGUGCAGGAUGCAGCAUCUAUGGUGUGUAAACUGCUUUUGUACGGGAAGAAACACUCCUACGUGUAGGAGCUUGACGGUACCGUAAGAAUAAGGAUCGGCUAACUCCGUGCCAGCAGCCGCGGUAAUACGGAGGAUCCAAGCGUUAUCCGGAAUCAUUGGGUUUAAAGGGUCCGUAGGCGGCUUUAUAAGUCAGUGGUGAAAGCCCAUCGCUUAACGAUGGAACGGCCAUUGAUACUGUAGAGCUUGAAUUACUUGGAAGUAACUAGAAUAUGUAGUGUAGCGGUGAAAUGCUUAUAUAUUACAUGGAAUACCAAAUUGCGAAGGCAGGUUACUACAAGUG
Molecule: ribosomal RNA, 730 nt
Filed under: uncultured bacterium
Lineage: Bacteria
Description: bacterial SSU rRNA
Rfam family: Bacterial small subunit ribosomal RNA
Source: RNAcentral